This 253-nucleotide ribosomal RNA is filed under the name uncultured bacterium. RNAcentral's name for it is "partial 16S ribosomal RNA". It matches the Rfam family "Bacterial small subunit ribosomal RNA", at positions 524 to 776 of the family's 1533-position model. The record is from RNAcentral.
UACGUAGGGGGCUAGCGUUGUCCGGAAUCAUUGGGCGUAAAGAGCGUGUAGGCGGCUCGGUAAGUCCGCUCUGAAAGCCCGGGGCUCAACCCCGGGAGGCGGGCGGAUACUGUCGGGCUAGAGUCCGGAAGAGGCGAGUGGAAUUCCCGGUGUAGCGGUGAAAUGCGCAGAUAUCGGGAGGAACACCAAUGGCGAAGGCAGCUCGCUGGGACGGUACUGACGCUGAGACGCGAAAGCGUGGGGAGCAAACAGG